RNAcentral lists this long non-coding RNA (735 nucleotides) under Arabidopsis lyrata. Its description in RNAcentral is "long non-coding RNA (ALYR_LNC002868)". Lineage: Eukaryota; Viridiplantae; Streptophyta; Magnoliopsida; Brassicales; Brassicaceae. The record is from RNAcentral.
CAUCCCUACAAUAUCACUGAAGUCUAGUGGCUCCAUUGAGAACACUUGUUUUGAAAUUUGCCCAACAAUAUCGGCAACCAUCGUGGCCUCGUCCUUACUAAUGUGGAGGACAUACAAAAAAAGAAAGAAAAAGAUGUCGCUUUAGAUAGGUAACUUCAAAUAUAGUAGUUCACAAAGCAGCAUGCAGAGGAAGAGGCCAAUGAAGGAAGGGACCAAUGAAAAAGAAGGUAGCAAGCACAAUAAUGGCUGCAUUUGUCUACAUCACCCUAAUAAGCAUCGGAAUAUUUUUAUUAGACUAUGUUAACAGCUUAGCAAGGAUGAAUAUGGAUAUAUUAUGUAGAAGACAAUGCCAUGACUCAAGGAAGAACCAAGAUGGAGGUGGCAUGCAUAUAUAAGCUAAUGGGCACGGGUACGAUGAAGUAUAGACGACAGUAAGGCUCAUUCAGAGGACUGUGGGAAAGGUUUGAUAUUCUUCAUCCGCUUUCAUGGUCAUUUCUCAUGACUCAUCCUUUAUUAUAUAAAAGAGAAGUCAGUCGGCGAUUUUCGUUGCGACACGUGUAUCUUCAUUUUUCAUAACUAACAACUUAUUCUAUAUCAUCUUUGUUUGGUUCCACUAUAGAGGAUGCUUAGUAAUAGUGAUUUACAUGGAAAAUGCAGCUGAAAAGUGAAAACUCACCAAGUACUCAAAUCUUUGCCUGAUGUUCCUGCGACCUCCCUGAGAGCUUCUCUCCAUUU